This 3068-nucleotide long non-coding RNA is filed under the name Mus musculus (house mouse). Its description in RNAcentral is "long non-coding RNA chr4:99231116-99234184". Lineage: Eukaryota; Metazoa; Chordata; Mammalia; Rodentia; Muridae. The record is from RNAcentral.
AUGUGUAAUUGAGUAGAAUCUUCCAUGUCUUUAGUUAUCUUCAUUGAAGUUUUCUGUUUGUUUGCUUUUUGAGACAAGGUCUUUCUCUCUCUAGCCCUGGCUGGCCUAGAACUUGCCAUUUAGAUUAGGUUGCGCUUAGACUCAUGGAGAGCUACUUGCCUCUGCCCCAAUCAAUACUGGGAUUAAAAGUGUGCAUCACCACACCCAGCUGAGGGCAGUUGUUCAUGUAUAAAGCACCCAUAUGAUUUUCCAAGGAGACAGUGGGGCUCAGAGGAGCAGUUUAACAACCUUAGAGAAAACGUCAUGGAAAGACAGUGAGGAACUGGAAGAGAAUGAGGGGAGCCUGGGGCCAUAGCAGAGAGUGCAGAUUGUGUUGCAGGUCUUCAUUGUCAGUGACCAGAAUAAGACUGACUCUUAGCUGUUGGAGUGGGAGGAGCAUAAUGCACAUGUGCAUUCAUGUGUAGGCAUGUAUUUAUACAAAUGCCCAUGUGUCUAUCUUACAAAUAUAAUUUUAUGUGCACAUAUGUUUUUGUGUACUCACAGGAAAUGUUUACAGUGUUUCUCCUACUCGGCUUCAGCUCAGAGUUACCCUAGGGACUUUCAAUUGGGGGGAUUGAGCCAACCAGCUUGGCUCGCCAGCACCUCUGUGGGGCAUUUUCUUGAUUGCUAAUUGACACAGGAAAGCCACCGUAGGUGGUGUCAUCCUUAGGCAGGAGGCCCUGGACUGUCUAGGACAGUUAGCUGAGCAGAAGCUAGGCAGCGAGGCAGUGAGCAGCACUCCUCCAUGGCUUCUGCUGUAAGCUCUGCCUUGAGUCCUGCCCUGGCAUCCGUCAUUUAGAGACUGCGAUCCAGAAGCUGAAAUAAACUUCUGUCCAAGUUACUUUUGGCCCUGCUGUCAUCAGGCAACAGAACCCAGACUAGGGCAGUAUUGCAUGUAUAUUAUUAGUGAAAUAAAGUGUCCUAAGUCACACUGUGAGUUCUUAUUUCAUAUAUUUCUAGAAUUAUAGACUGUGUUCUUUAAGAUAAUAUUUUAUUUUUUUUAGUAUUAUGCUUUGAGUUAGGGGUCUCACUGUGUCAGCCUGGCUAGCCUAGAACUCACUUUGUAGAUCAAGAUGGCCUUGAACUCACCGAGACCCGCUCUCUUCCAAGUGCCGGGAUUACAGGCAUAUGCCAACACUGCUAGCGAAUACUAAGUUCUUACAGGUAAGAGCAGUCCUGCUAGUGGGCACGUGUAUCCGUUCCAGUUCUUAGGUCCCCAGUUCCAACUUCCAGACCCUAGAAGGGUCAUAUAGUGGUGACUGUUUCAAUCACCACCAAUAAAUUAAGAAAAAUAGUGGCAUUAAAGUUAUUGGACAGACAGACAAGUGAGGAAGGUGAAUUUGUCAGGCAAAGAUACACUCUUUAUGAAUCACACAUGUAAGUUCCAGUUAGCAGGAAUGUGGUCUAACUAACAUGUGAACUGCAGUUAGUAGGCAUGUUCUCUAACUAAUAUGUAAACUGCAAUUAGUAGGCAUGUUCUUUACCACUUAGGGAGCUUCAUUCCAAGCUCCAGAAUAAAUACAACUGUUCUGGUAUCGUUUAUAUGUUUAGGUAAUUAAAUCCAUUAUGCCAGUAGUUAUUAUUCUUAGAGCAUAUAUAAAGAAUAUGAACCCACAGUAUCUCUUUUAGGAAAUGAAUUCCUUAAUUAAACAUGUCAUCAUGUCUAGAAUUUAAUAGGUGCCUAAUAAUUGUUUGUUCAGGCAAUGAAUAAAUGAUGCAUUAAAAUGAAAUAAAUAGGCGUUGAUUCUUUUUUUCCAGAAAUAUAUUUCAUUGUUACAGAAGGAAGUAUACAUUGUUAUUACUCCCUAAAUUGUGUAUGUAGGUAGAGGCUGCUAUUACCGGACAUCAGAAUUUUAAAAUUAAAUUAUACAUGCAUAGUUUAAAGUGUUAUCAUAAAGUGAACAUAGCCUAGCAACACCACUUUGGAAUAUAUUUGAAAGGUGGACUUAUUUCACAAUAAGUAGAAAUGAUUCUGAAUUUAAAUUAGCAUUGUUUUGACUUCAGAAUCUUAGGUAAACACAGAACAACAUGAUUUAAACAUAGAGAUGGCUCUAAGGUGCCUUUCCGAGUCCCACUCCUCGUGAGGGACAGCCACAAGCAGCUUCACUUUUGAGUGAAAUCAGAGACUUUAACUGUGGUUUGUGGGUAGUAAGUUCUUUGCAGACAUCAAGAGAACCACAGGUUACAGGUUGGUGUUUGUGGUUCUUAUCUAUGGAGCCUGCGGUGAACAGGCAUAGGCCGUUCUAGCAACUGACUCUAGAAAAAGCUCUAGUCAUUGCUUUGUGGCAGGCGAGAAGGACACAGUCACAGGUGAGUUAAACCUGUGCCCCUGGACCUUGUACAGCCUUUUUUAACUGUCUUCCUCACCAGGUAGUAAAAAACUGAAGAAUCAGUUCUUGUUAGCUGUUUUCAACAAAUUUUGCAAAUGGCUAUUUUUAGACAUGCUCUAUGUAAAAGACUUUCUCGUAAAUAUAUGACCUAGAACUGUUCCAUGUACCCCAACACACUCUUCUGUAUUGCAGCUUAUAGUUUUCUUAGCUUUUCUGUGCUUCAUCUGUUUCUUAAUGUCGUGAAAAUAAAAUAGUUGGAACCAUAUUAGGGAAAGUCCAGUUAAACUGCUUGUAUUGGGUAGUGCUGGAGAGAUCUACUUUAGUUAGCUCAGACUCCAUUAAUUAAAAGAAGUAUUAGCUAAGCACUUUGUACAGGUCAGGGUUUGGUGCAUGACUGCUGGCGUGCUGGUCGACUGUAACACAGAGCUGGCCCGCUCAGAAGGUAUGUCCUUUGCAGAGCCCCCAUGGGUGAGUUCUUCCCUGCCUUAUCUCAUGUUCUUUAUGGGAAUGAACAUUAGAAAAGAAAGUCGGAAGAAAAUUUGAUUAUGGGCCAAUAAUUUUACACUCAGGAGGCAGAGGCUGGUGGGUUCCUGUGAGUGUGAGGCCAACUUGGUCUACAUUGCCAAGUCUAUGCUAGCCAGGGCUACACAGUAACAGCCUGUAUCAAAAAAUAAAUGAACAAAACAACAAGAAUAACAG